This 253-nucleotide ribosomal RNA is filed under the name uncultured bacterium. RNAcentral describes it as "partial 16S ribosomal RNA". It matches the Rfam family "Bacterial small subunit ribosomal RNA", at positions 524 to 776 of the family's 1533-position model. The record is from RNAcentral.
UACGUAGGUGGCAAGCGUUGUCCGGAUUUACUGGGCGUAAAGAGCGCGCAGGCGGUCGAGUAAGUCGAAUGUGAAAGCCCCCGGCUUAACUGGGGAGGGUCAUUCGAUACUGUUCGACUUGAAGGCAGGAGAGGGCAGCAGAAUUCCCGGUGUAGUGGUGAAAUGCGUAGAUAUCAGGAGGAAUACCAGUGGCGAAGGCGGCUGCCUGGCCUGUUCUUGACGCUGAGGCGCGAAAGCUGGGGGAGCAAACGGG